UUUGGAAGCACGUUGAUAGGAAUCUUCCACAAUGGACGCAAGUCUGAUGGAGCAACGCCGCGUGAGUGAAGAAGGCUUUCGGGUCGUAAAACUCUGUUGUUGGAGAAGAAUGGUCGGCAGAGUAACUGUUGUCGGCGUGACGGUAUCCAACCAGAAAGCCACGGCUAACUACGUGCCAGCAGCCGCGGUAAUACGUAGGUGGCAAGCGUUAUCCGGAUUUAUUGGGCGUAAAGCGAGCGCAGGCGGUUUUUUAAGUCUGAUGUGAAAGCCCUCGGCUUAACCGAGGAAGCGCAUCGGAAACUGGGAAACUUGAGUGCAGAAGAGGACAGUGGAACUCCAUGUGUAGCGGUGAAAUGCGUAGAUAUAUGGAAGAACACCAGUGGCGAAGGCGGCUGUCUGGUCUGUAACUGACGCUGAGGCUCGAAAGCAUGGGUAGCGAACAGGAUUAGAUACCCUGGUAGUCCAUGCCGUAAACGAUGAAUGCUAGGUGUUGGAGGGUUUCCGCCCUUCAGUGCCGCAGCUAACGCAUUAAGCAUUCCGCCUGGGGAGUACGACCGCAAGGUUGAAACUCAAAGGAAUUGACGGGGGCCCGCACAAGCGGUGGAGCAUGUGGUUUAAUUCGAAGCAACGCGAAGAACCUUACCAGGUCUUGACAUCUUUUGAUCACCUGAGAGAUCAGGUUUCCCCUUCGGGGGCAAAAUGACAGGUGGUGCAUGGUGUCGUCAAGCUCCGUUCUGG
Molecule: ribosomal RNA, 738 nt
Filed under: Lacticaseibacillus paracasei
Lineage: Bacteria; Bacillati; Bacillota; Bacilli; Lactobacillales; Lactobacillaceae
Description: bacterial SSU rRNA
Rfam family: Bacterial small subunit ribosomal RNA
Source: RNAcentral